GAACCAAAACCACCAGAAGAAACAGCUUCUGAGCCAGCCAGUGUAUCUAGUGUGUUCCUUCAAUACCUGUUCAGGAUGCAGAUAGAGGCAUCUUCUGCAGGACCAGGAGGAGCCUGGGGAUGAACUUGCCCCAUAUUUCUACCAGCAUCUCCAGACAGAGCUGCAGAGCUCUGUGCCAACAACCCCUCCAGCACCCACGUACCCAGGAACGAUUGCCUGGUUGCAGUUAUCUCCAUCACCUCCGCAGCGCUGCAGAAGGUAGCAAAGGUCGAUGCUGGCUAAUUCAGAGAUGACUUGAUGUUCCCAUGCUGCGGACCAUCCCAGCCGUGACACCACCGUACCUUUGACUACCUGGCUGUCGCCGAGGAUCGACACCCAGUAGAGGACUGUGACUAUGGUGCCACCGAUGGAGCCAGCGCAUCUGACUUCAGUGGGCAAGGCUCCAUCAAAAGGCGUUGCUGACCUCCCUCACCAUCUGUCACACCAGCGAGGAGAGGAUGGAGUUGAAGGAUCCCUGAACAAGCAGGCUCUGCGGCUGGACCUGACAAAGCAUGGCUGGAGGGAAGACCACCUACUGCCUUUUUGUGCUGAUGCGUGGGUCUCACCAGUGAGCCAGCCUACCCCAAAAAGUCUUCGAUGGUGCUGAAACCAGUCCUUCAGCUGGGGAUCCUUCACAGAGCUCCCCAUGACCCUGCUGUGACUUGACCAAGGGGGUCCUCCUGCAGCACUGCCCAGGGUGCCCGGCACUGCCUCCCGUGUGUGUCCAGCCGUGCCACAGCGGGCCCCUGGAGCAUCGCGGCUCUCCCAUGGCAGCAGCACGUGUGCAGUGCGAUGCAGGCAGGUUGCAGCUGCUUCCCUGUGUGCGCAGGCAGGAAAGGAGUUUUCUGAGGUAAGAGCACAAACAACUAGCAGAGCAGCGUUUUGGCUCGGGAAAAGCAGAUUUUCCAGUGGCUAGGGAUGCGUUUUGUGCCGUGCUAGAAGUGCUAAUGAUGAUGGUUUCAGUAAGAUUGGAUCUUGGGAUCUUGUUUUGCUCUGCCAAGAUGUCUUACAAACUUGUCUUAGGAGCUAAAUUUAAAGGGUGAUCGUCCAGAAAGGGCUACAGAGCAGGUCUCUGAAGUCUCUGCCUGUCCUAUGGGCAUUAACAUUGUUUGUAUGUUUUCUUAGUAUUGGUUGUAAGGGUUACUGUGGGAUCCAGUCUCAGCCUGGAGUCUGCUCCUGGGAUGGCUGUUUUUCAAGGGCAGAACGCGAGCAGCCAGGCUGUAGGCAGAGCUCAUGCACAGCCCUUGAAUUUGAGCUCCUGAGAGCAAGAGCUGGGCAGGACUAUGCUUUGCCUGGGCCAGUGAUGAAGAUGAAGCCAUGCUCGUUCGUUUGCUGUGGUCAGCCCAGAGCUGCUCUGUUAGCUCUCAGCAGGGUUAUUAGCAUCCUUCAAGCUGACUUUGAGGAAGAAGGAAAGGUUUAUUUGCUCUGCAAAUCCUGGUCCAUGCAGCUCUCCCUCCAUCACUCUUUCGCUGCGUCUUUGCUUGGGCAAGCAAGGUGCCACCUUCUUUUGUGGUAGACCUAAGGAUCCUUGGACCAAAGGACCCUGUUCCCUCCGUGCAGGUACCAGGGGCUACAUGGCUUGGCAAAUGACACCCUUGCAACAUCCUGAUGUCUCCUGCUCUGGAGCAUGUGUUACAGUCCAAAGGCAUCCAUUUGGUAUCUCUGGAAGCCUCUUCUAAGCGAGGCUGUGAUGGGACUGCUGCUUGUAGUUGUAGUUGAUGGCAGGUCCAACUUGAUCGACCGAUGUGGUCCAACUUGACUCUCCCUGGAUAAUUCAGGAAGGGAUUUGGAAGCAUACUUUCUACUUAAUACCUAAAUCAUACAAAAGACUGGUGGGAUUUAGGUGCUAUGUGACUUUUGGAGGACUGAGCAUCUGAGCUGUCCUGAAGUGGGAGUGGGGACACCAAGGGGACUUUGCUGCUUUCUGAGGGCACCAAAUGCAUCUCAGCGAGGUUUCUUUGGUCUUUCCCCACUCAGUAACAUCAAAGGAGGCUGCUGGUGGAAACAAAUAAAGACCUCAUCGUGGGAGAGUGGCGGGAGCCC
Long non-coding RNA from Anser brachyrhynchus (Pink-footed goose), 2082 nucleotides. The record is from Ensembl. NCBI's taxonomy places the organism in Eukaryota, Metazoa, Chordata, Aves, Anseriformes, Anatidae.